This 429-nucleotide ribosomal RNA is filed under the name Chloroflexota bacterium. RNAcentral describes it as "Chloroflexi bacterium partial 16S ribosomal RNA". It matches the Rfam family "Bacterial small subunit ribosomal RNA", at positions 355 to 776 of the family's 1533-position model. The record is from RNAcentral. Lineage: Bacteria; Bacillati; Chloroflexota.
UGGGGAAUAUUGCACAAUGGGCGCAAGCCUGAUGCAGCCAUGCCGCGUGUAUGAAGAAGGCCUUCGGGUUGUAAAGUACUUUCAGCGGGGAGGAAGGGAGUCAAGUUAAUACCUUUGCUCAUUGACGUUACCCGCAGAAGAAGCACCGGCUAACUCCGUGCCAGCAGCCGCGGUAAUACGGAGGGUGCAAGCGUUAAUCGGAAUUACUGGGCGUAAAGCGCACGCAGGCGGUUUGUUAAGUCAGAUGUGAAAUCCCCGGGCUCAACCUGGGAACUGCAUCUGAUACUGGCAAGCUUGAGUCUCGUAGAGGGGGGUAGAAUUCCAGGUGUAGCGGUGAAAUGCGUAGAGAUCUGGAGGAAUACCGGUGGCGAAGGCGGCCCCCUGGACGAAGACUGACGCUCAGGUGCGAAAGCGUGGGGAGCAAACAGG